GCUUCCCCUUUGCCUUUCAUCAUGACUGUAGGUUUCCUGAUGCCUCCCCAGCCAUGCUUCGUGUAUAGCCUGCAGAGCCAUUACUCAAUUCAACGUCUUUCCUUUAUAAAUUACCCAGUUUCCGGUAUUUCUUAAUAGCAACAUGAGAACAAGACUAAUACAGAUGGGACAAUCCAUAGUAUUUUGAAAUUUGUCACUAUUCCUUAUACACAUUUGUGCUUCUUCAGUCUGAUCUCCAUACUGUUACUGGAGAUGGCUUUCUGAAACACAGCUUUCUCUAAAGCCCUAUUUGACUCCUCAUUGACACCGAAGAAAAAUAAAAACUUCUCAUCUUGACAUGCAGAGCCUUUGAUGGCCCAGCUUCUGUCUUCUGUGUGUCCUCCCUCAGUAACCUACACCUUCUCUAUACUGUAGCCUCCCCUAAUUCAGUGGGUUGCAGUCCUUUUUGUGCCAUACUCUUGCCCUCCUGUGGCUGGGCACAUUCUGGCUGGAAUGUUUUGCCCUACCAGCAUUGUGCUGGUUUUUCCUUUCAUAAUCAGAGUAGAAGGUGGCUUUCUUUUCUUACUAGUUCUUUUUUCUCUUCUAGUUUAGUUAUCUUUCAUUCCAAUCCCAUAAUUCCCUUGAUAGACUUCAAUUCCAAAAUGUGGGACCCUAAAUUUCAUUUGAUAGUUUCCCUGUCUUUCUCUCUCACUAGGUUAUUGGCUUCUGGAGGCAGAGACCAUAACUUUCACCUCUGUAAAUAGUGGAAUGGUACAUAGCAGCCGAAUGACAGUUGGUUAAGUGGUUAAGUGGCCUGCAUGAGAAAGAAGUGUUACUUCUGGGAGGAGAAACACAGAAGGGAGUCUUAGACCCGGUCUAUUUUGUCCUGUAAGGACUAGAACAGGAGGGUUGUAUUAAAUUAAUCAAGCUCCAUAAUAAAGCAGGCGUUGGAAAGUGGGAAAUUGUUUAGAGAAGAAUGUCUGAGAGAGUCUUGGAAAAUAUAAGGAGUGCAUUUUGGAAAAUGAAGACAGUAAUAAACAAUGAUAUUUACAGGGAAUUGAAGUUAAAGUGCCUGCAGUGAUAUUAACUGAAAAGAAAAGGGUAAGUCACUGGACAGGAAGCACACAGUCCGCCCAAGGAAAGCUGUGAGGGCUGUGGACUGACUAAGGAACAGACAAAUAUGAAUGGGAAACAGAAUCCAAAUACAUUCGUGAAAAAAGUAACAGUGGCUGUCCCUGAUGACAGGUGAUGUUCCUAACAAUUUUUAAAUAAUUACCUAGUAUUAGAUACAUGGUGUGGGGGGCUGUACAUAGAUUUUUUUUUCCUCUUAAUUCAAACAAAAUAGAACAGAGAAUUCUUGUGUGGAGAAGACUCAAGGGGCAGAGGAGGAGUUAGGAGAGCUAUUUUCAAAUAUUUAUUGGGUCAUGAUGUGGAAAAGAGAUUAGAAUUAUUCUGCAUGAUUUAAUUAGAACUACUUACUGAAAAGCUAGACAAAGGUACAGUUUAGCUCAUAUUAAGCAAGUGUUAUGUCUCUAUGGUGUUAAAAGAUAAUUUCUAAUUAAAGGUAAAUUCAUGACUCAUAGAAUAAAAAUAAAUACGUGUCAAAAAUCUUAACUCAUGAAUGAGGAAACUGGUGAGGUAUUAUAACCAGUUCCAAGGCAAAUGUAAAGAAUAAACAAAUUUAGAUUUGUAAAAUAGUUCCCAAGGAGUCAGAAUCAGAUAUGACAUAAUUUUCCAUUGAAUCCCCAAGUUUCCCCUAUGGUGUCUCUUUUUGACCAAAAAUAUCAAAGAAAUACUAUUCUCGAUCUGUAGCGUGAACCGUGGUGGCCUGUUUCCAUGUUGUGUUUGGCACCAGGAAUGACCCGGGAGUAGCCAAAUGAUGACCUGUUGCGGAUACUGUAGAAAAAGUUUACUCAUAGGAUAGCUGGUUUGCCUGGACGACUUUAAAGAUAGUUAAUAACUUUAAAUUUCUAAGAUAUUACUUCACCACUCAGGGAGCCAGCUCCUGAACCUGUAUCACUACAGCCGGGUCCUUUUACAAAUUCAAGUUCCUGUUAAUACAAACAACUACCCUUCCCCUGCUGAUGAGAGUUUACUGUGUUUCUCAGCGUGCCUUGAGAAUCUACCUGCCCUUUAGAUUCCAGUUCUCUCCUUAUUUGUCUUACUUUCACCAACUAAAAUAUCUUCCUGUCUCUUAAAAUCACUUUUGACUUGGAAAAAAAACAACUGUAGAAGGUAAGAUUAUGUGGGUUAUUUAGGCUGGAUCUUUACCUCCCCUAACCACCAAAAAAAAAAAAAAAAGAAAUAUUCAAGAG
Molecule: long non-coding RNA, 2294 nt
Organism: Sapajus apella (tufted capuchin)
Lineage: Eukaryota; Metazoa; Chordata; Mammalia; Primates; Cebidae
Exons: 2
Source: RefSeq, a predicted model, not a curated record